RNAcentral lists this unclassified non-coding RNA (332 nucleotides) under soil metagenome. RNAcentral's name for it is "partial contains 5.8S ribosomal RNA, internal transcribed spacer 2, and large subunit ribosomal RNA". The stretch from base 5 to 121 matches the Rfam family "5.8S ribosomal RNA", at positions 38 to 154 of the family's 154-position model. The record is from RNAcentral.
GAUGGAAGAACGUAGCGAAAUGCGAUAAGUAAUGUGAAUUGCAGAAUUCAGUGAAUCAUCGAAUCUUUGAACGCACAUUGCGCCCCCUGGUAUUCCGGGGGGCAUGCCUGUUCGAGCGUCAUUUCACCACUCAAGCCUCGCUUGGUAUUGGGCAACGCGGUCCGCCGCGUGCCUCAAAUCGACCGGCUGGGUCUUCUGUCCCCUAAGCGUUGUGGAAACUAUUCGCUAAAGGGUGUUCGGGAGGCUACGCCGUAAAACAACCCCAUUUCUAAGGUUGACCUCGGAUCAGGUAGGGAUACCCGCUGAACUUAAGCAUAUCAAUAAGCGGAGGA